Lagopus muta (rock ptarmigan) is the source of this 1625-nucleotide long non-coding RNA. RefSeq lists it as uncharacterized. The transcript has 4 exons. The record is from RefSeq and is a predicted model, not a curated record. NCBI's taxonomy places the organism in Eukaryota, Metazoa, Chordata, Aves, Galliformes, Phasianidae.
ACAGGUGAAGGCAACUCCACCAGAAGUGGUGGAGCCUGGCUGCAACUCUCCUAGAUCCCAUUUAAGUGCUGACUGCCACUGAGGAAGGACCUGUGUCUGGAGAUUGCUCCUUGUGGAGUUUCACUGUGAGCCUAUGACAGUAACACAAGCUUAUCUCAUGUUUCUGAAGCUAAGCACUGUGUACUCAGUUGCACCAUUUAUGGGAGUAAUCCUCAUAGUAGCCCGGUGUAGUUGAACAAGCUGCUUGUUGAGAUGCCUGAAAGCAAAUGCACAGAGUUCAUGGAUUCAGUUAUCUUCAAGCUGUGUGACUGUGUCCAGUCAAAGAGAAGAAUAUCUGUUGCAUUGGUUUUCCCUAGCAGUGUUGCAGGAGAUCAGUCCAAUCUGAAUUCUCUGCUGUCCAGUGACAAGGACUGCCAACAGACUGCAAGCUCGGGCUUUACAGGCCAGUGGUGGAGCUAACAGGGAGGCCUUUAGGAUUUCAAAAAGGAAUGAGAAGGCUGAGAAUCAGGUGCUCUGUUUGAUGUUUUCACUGGCUGUCCUACCUAAGGAUUCUGUCUGUCUAUAGGCAUGUUGAACUGAUUAGUCUGCAGCUUGGUGCUUACAACUUCAGUUCUUUAUGAUACCAGAGCUGCAGCACUUGCUGCCCAGACCAAAUACAUGUAUUGUUGGAGGAAAUUCUCUAUGCAUUUUUUUUUAUGGUUUUAAAGUGUGAGGGUGGUAUAUGCUUUCAAACAAGUAAUGUCUAGAAGAAAUGUACUUUUUUCCUUUUUUCCUUUUUUUCUUUUUAAUUUUUUUUCUUGAGCAGAGGUUUAGAGAAAUGUGGAUGCUUUCUUCUCUGCUGCUAUGUUUCCCAUAGUGGUAUUGUAGGAAUGGCUUUUGUCUUGAUUGCUUACUUUAUUAUUUUAAAUACUGAAGGAAAUAUACCAUUCUUUUUCUUCUGCUUAUGUAAAACUCCCUUUGUUUCCUUUGUGGAUUUGAAUUGUGCUCUGGAACAAAAUGUACAGCUGGAUCUGGAACAGUUGCCAAAGAGGAGUACGCAGGCAGGUGGUGCUGGUGCUUCCCAGAGGGAGAUCAUAAAGUUCCUUGCCUCAUCACAGAGUAUUCUCAUACUACUCUUAUAUAGCAUUGCAUGUUACUGCUGUACUGAGACUUUUAUGACAAAUCCAUUACCUGUUUCCCAAGGGGGAUGCUGAGAAACACACCUCAUGAUGACGUAUACAUACCUCAUGUUUCACAUUAGUUCUUCCUUUGUGUCAAAUUAGACCAAAUUCUCGAGACUGUACCUGGGAACCCCACUGUUAUUAAAAUGGUUCAGCCUGUGGUCAGAAUGCCCUGCGGCAGAUCCUGGCACUGGUUGUGAAUGAAAGAACUGAUGACAAAUCGCAUGAUAUCAAGAAAGAUCCAGUGGAUAUUUACAAGCCUUGGGGGACCCGGAUGGGUUCUCAGAGGGGUGAGGCCAGUACCUGGAAGCUGUUACUGCUACGUUUCUUCUAAGAGUUGCGCGGCUGUUUUGUGUUUCUCUUCUGUGAUGUUGAUUGUGUUUGUGCAUAAGAAGCUUUUAGUGUUUUCUGUAUAUAGUACUGGCCUUUACUGAACUUAUAACCCUCUUGUGAAAUAGCUGUUUU